CCUACGGGUGGCAGCAGUGAGGAAUAUUGGUCAAUGGACGAGAGUCUGAACCAGCCAAGUAGCGUGAGGGAAGACUGCCCUAUGGGUUGUAAACCUCUUUUAUGCGGGGAUAAAGGUGUCCACGUGUGGAUGUUUGCAGGUACCGCAUGAAUAAGGACCGGCUAAUUCCGUGUCAGCAGCCGCGGUAAUCCGGAAGGUCCGGGCGUUAUCCGGAUUUAUUGGGUUUAAAGGGAGCGUAGGCCGGUCUUUAAGCGUGCCGUGAAAUUUUGUGGCUCAACCAUGGGAGUGCGGCGCGAACUGGAGACCUGGAGUGCGCGGAAGGCAGGCGGAAUUCGUGGUGUAGCGGUGAAAUGCUUAGAUAUCACGAAGAACCCCGAUUGCGAAGGCAGCCUGCCGCAGCGUUACUGACGCUGAAGCUCGAAAGCGCGGGUAUCGAACAGGAUUAGAUACCCCUGUAGUC
Molecule: ribosomal RNA, 460 nt
Filed under: uncultured bacterium
Lineage: Bacteria
Description: partial 16S ribosomal RNA
Rfam family: Bacterial small subunit ribosomal RNA
Source: RNAcentral